GACGAACGCUGGCGGCGGGCCUAAUACAUGCAAGUAGAACGAGUUGCGAACGGGUGAGUAACGCGUGGUAACCUGCCUCAUAGCGGGGGAUAACUACUGGAAACGGUAGCUAAUACCGCAUAACAUCGGAUGUGACCAGAUGGGAUUGGCUUGUUGGUGGGGUAACGGACCACCAAGGCGAAGGUCCCUAGCUGGUCUGAGAGGAUGACCAGCCACACUGGAAUGGAGACACGGUCCAGACUCCUACGGGAGGCAGCAGUGGGGAAUAUUGCACAAUGGGCGCAAGCCUGAUGCAGCCAUGCCGCGUGUAUGAAGAAGGCCUUCGGGUUGUAAAGUACUGUCAGCGGGGAGGCGUUACCCGCAGAAGAAGCACCGGCUAACUCCGUGCCAGCAGCCGCGGUAAUUC
Molecule: ribosomal RNA, 406 nt
Filed under: uncultured bacterium
Lineage: Bacteria
Description: partial 16S ribosomal RNA
Rfam family: Bacterial small subunit ribosomal RNA
Source: RNAcentral